UGCCAGCAGCCGCGGUAAUACGGAGGGUGCUAGCGUUGUUCGGAAUUACUGGGCGUAAAGGGCGCGUAGGCGGCUUUUUAAGUUGGAAGUGAAAUCCCGGGGCUCAACCUCGGAACUGCUUUCAAAACUGAAUCGCUAGAGUUAUGUAGAGGAUAGUGGAAUUCCCAAUGUAGAGGUGAAAUUCGUAGAUAUUGGGAGGAACACCAGAAGCGAAGGCGACUAUCUGGGCAUUAACUGACGCUGAGGCGCGAAAGUGUGGGGAGCAAACAGGAUUAGAUA
RNAcentral lists this ribosomal RNA (279 nucleotides) under uncultured bacterium. Its description in RNAcentral is "partial 16S ribosomal RNA". It matches the Rfam family "Bacterial small subunit ribosomal RNA", at positions 506 to 784 of the family's 1533-position model. The record is from RNAcentral.